RNAcentral lists this non-coding RNA (874 nucleotides) under Pongo abelii (Sumatran orangutan). The record is from RNAcentral. Lineage: Eukaryota; Metazoa; Chordata; Mammalia; Primates; Hominidae.
AUGACACCCUAGAUUGUUCUGUUACACAAGGGGUACCAAAGUCCACCCUGAGCUUUUCCUCUGGGAACAGAUUCCAGAUUAUUCCAGACUUAAGACAUGGAGAUAUAUCUUGCUAGAGCCCCCAGUAUAUAUUCAGUGUGUCCUCUGAAGUAACAACCAUCCCAUCUGGCUGAGAAGUGAUGGACACGGCUCCUUAACCACACUGUACCCUCCGUUCUUGGCACCUCUCUACCAGAAAGAUAUCGACAAAUUGGAUGGAAUUCAGAGAACAGCAAGAAAAAUGAUUAAAGAGAUGGAGGCAGUGACUUACGAGGAAAGAUGAAAAGGACUAAAACUGUAUAGCUUGGCAAAGCAGCAACUGAGGUGGCAUAUGAAAACUGUCUACAAGCAUUUGAAGAAUAUAAACACCAAAGAAAGAGAAGGAACUUUUUAGAAUGGUCUGGGGAAUAAGCAGAGCAAGAGGACAGAAUUGAAGAAAGGAGAGAGAUAUGCUAAGUUGGGGGCAGGGGCGUUUUCUCAUCAAUUGUAAAUUUUGAUAAAUAACCAAAUUAAGUCUAGAGAGAAAGAGUUGCAUCUCAUGCUUUUAGGUUACAAUCAGUGUUGACCUGCACUGAGAAAAUGUGACUUCCUAUUAUCCUUCUCAAAGUUAUUGCUGCAGAGGAAAGAAGCAUACAUCUUUCACCCACCAGGAAACCCCCAAAGCACCUAUUACUGUAAUAGCCAUGGGAAACAGAAGGCACCUCAAAUAAAGGUAGGGGGAAAAAAUGAAAGAGAUGACUUUGGCCUGUGCCUGUUUGACCUCUGAGAGAUACUUUUUGCAAGAAAUUGUUAAGUUUUGGCCCAAGAAGUGGUCGGUCUUUUAUCCUUCUUUGUG